RNAcentral lists this ribosomal RNA (382 nucleotides) under uncultured bacterium. RNAcentral describes it as "bacterial SSU rRNA". It matches the Rfam family "Bacterial small subunit ribosomal RNA", at positions 28 to 409 of the family's 1533-position model. The record is from RNAcentral.
GAUGAACGCUAGCGGCAGGCUUAAUACAUGCAAGUCGAGGGGUAACAUGGUAGCAAUACUGAUGACGACCGGCAAACGGGUGCGGAGCACGUACAGAACCUUCCUUUAAGCGGGGGAUAGCCCAUAGAAAUGUGGAUUAAUACCCCAUAGUAAUAUUGACUGGCAUCAGUUGGUAUUUAAAGAUUUAUCACUUAAAGAUGGCUGUGCGGCUGAUUAGGUAGUUGGUGCGGGUAACGGCCCACCAAGCCAGCGAUCAGUAACUGGUGUGAGAGCACGACCAGUCACACGGGCACUGAGACACGGGCCCGACUCCUACGGGAGCAGCAGUAAGGAAUAUUGGUCAAUGGACGCAAGUCUGAACCAGCCAUGCCGCGUGAAGGAU